This 253-nucleotide ribosomal RNA is filed under the name uncultured bacterium. Its description in RNAcentral is "partial 16S ribosomal RNA". It matches the Rfam family "Bacterial small subunit ribosomal RNA", at positions 524 to 776 of the family's 1533-position model. The record is from RNAcentral.
UACGUAGGGGGCAAGCGUUGUCCGGAUUUAUUGGGCGUAAAGAGCGUGUAGGCGGCCAGGUAGGUCCGUUGUGAAAACUCGAGGCUCAACCUCGAGACGCCGAUGGAAACCAUCUGGCUAGAGUCCGGAAGAGGAGAGUGGAAUUCCCGGUGUAGCGGUGAAAUGCGUAGAGAUCGGGAGGAACACCAGAGGCGAAGGCGGCGACCUGGACAAGUACUGACACUCAACUACGAAAGCGUGGGGAGCAAACAGG